This is a long non-coding RNA of Myotis brandtii (Brandt's bat), 130 nucleotides long. RefSeq lists it as uncharacterized. The record is from RefSeq and is a predicted model, not a curated record. NCBI's taxonomy places the organism in Eukaryota, Metazoa, Chordata, Mammalia, Chiroptera, Vespertilionidae. The transcript has 3 exons.
CAGGCCCACCGGCCGGAACCUCAAGCAUCCUAAGUUUACUGCCAGCUCCAAACAUCAACUUAUCCCAUGGCCAUCUGAUCCUGAACAUCAACACCAGCUUUAGGAGGAAACCAAGAUGGCGGCAUAGGUA